This 347-nucleotide unclassified non-coding RNA is filed under the name soil metagenome. Its description in RNAcentral is "partial contains 5.8S ribosomal RNA, internal transcribed spacer 2, and large subunit ribosomal RNA". The stretch from base 1 to 120 matches the Rfam family "5.8S ribosomal RNA", at positions 35 to 154 of the family's 154-position model. The record is from RNAcentral.
GAUGAAGAACGUAGCGAAAUGCGAUAAGUAGUGUGAAUUGCAGAAUUCAGUGAAUCAUCGAGUCUUUGAACGCACAUUGCGCCCCCUGGUAUUCCGGGGGGCAUGCCUGUCCGAGCGUCAUUGCUGCCCUCAAGCCCGGCUUGUGUGUUGGGCCCCGUCCCCCGAUCUCCGGGGGACGGGCCCGAAAGGCAGCGGCGGCACCGCGUCCGGUCCUCGAGCGUAUGGGGCUUUGUCACCCGCUCUGUAGGCCCGGCCGGCGCUUGCCGAUCAACCCAAAUUUUUAUCCAGGUUGACCUCGGAUCAGGUAGGGAUACCCGCUGAACUUAAGCAUAUCAAUAAGCGGAGGA